CUCAGGGACGUUUGUGUGUCCGGCCGCCUCAAGGGCCUCUCGGCCCCCACGGCAGGCAGCAGGGCUGACGGGCUUCGUCAUUUUAGCAACACCGGGCCUCUACGGGGAUGACACGCCCAUGCCCUUUUAGAACAACUUUAUAAUAACGGGCUUUUUCCGUACCAGCAGCGCCGCUUAGCCCCUGCAUACACCGGACAAGGGAGAAGCGUGAAGGACAAGGAAGCUGGGUGAAUGCACAUAAAAAGCCUUGCGAACAGAAUCCUGUACCACAUCCAUGCCAAUGCUACCAAGCAAAAACUCCUGCAAUACAGCUGUUCAUCCAGAACUUCUCGAAUCGCCAUGGUAGCGUAAGUGGAUGGGGGAAGAGAGAACUCCAUCUUUAGUGCCCUGAAUUUACCAUCUAUUUUGAGGGAUAAGAGAAGACACAAUGGAAGAAAAUGUUAAGGGCACAAGUAACACCGUAUUCCUGCUGCCAUCCAAACUGGACUAAAGAGUUCCACAACCACCUCCCCUCAAACCAAAAAGCAAAAUAACCACCACCACCAUUCUCCAAUUUAAAAUCCAUAGUGAAAUUUCAUAAAACAACUGAUUUUUAACAUUUUCUCUCAGCAGGAAGUAGUGUUUUGGAGGGUUUCUUCUUUAAAAAGCAGAAUAAAUAUCUGUCCUUUCAAAACUGAAUUCCCAGUCUCUCUUCACUUUCUCUGGAGAGCAGUGACAGAAAACCUUGUGACCAGAGUUAUAGCAAAAUAUUUCCAUUCUAUGACAUAUUUGAGUAGUCUCUUGUGUUUAGCACAAACACCACCUUCUCAAGCACAUAGACAAUUUGUGGCUUAAUUCCACCUUCAUGUAUUUUAUAGACAUUUAAUGCUAGGCAUUUGCUCAGUUUUACAGAUAUCUAUAAGAAAAUGUAACAGUCAAUACAAGAAUUAUAUUCAAUGGAAGAAUUGCUUGCAUGCUUAAGAAAUAAGGGUCCUUAUUUAGACACAUAACUCUGGACACCUUUAAUAUCAUUACCUAACAGUCUAGUUAAAUGAAAGCUUUUCCUUAAAAAAAGCUUUCAAUAUUCAUCAGUUCAAAACAACAGCCACAUCAAACUUUUACAAACAUCAGCAGAAAAAACAACUUACCUGUAGGGAGAACUGGUAACGGUUUUCCUUCCAGCUUAUCCAAAUCCGUAGUAAAUAAUGGGAUUUUGGGAUCAUCAUAUGCAACAA
Colius striatus (speckled mousebird) is the source of this 1214-nucleotide long non-coding RNA. RefSeq lists it as uncharacterized. NCBI's taxonomy places the organism in Eukaryota, Metazoa, Chordata, Aves, Coliiformes, Coliidae. The transcript is spliced from 3 exons. The record is from RefSeq and is a predicted model, not a curated record.